Molecule: ribosomal RNA, 253 nt
Filed under: uncultured bacterium
Lineage: Bacteria
Description: partial 16S ribosomal RNA
Rfam family: Bacterial small subunit ribosomal RNA
Source: RNAcentral
UCCGUAGGAUCCAGUCGUUGUCCGGAAUUACUGGGUGUAAAGGGUGCGCAGGCGGACUUGUGCGUCAGAGGUUAAAUACCCCGGCUCAACCGGGGAAAUGCCUUUGAAACGGCAGGUCUUGAGUGCGAGAGAGGAUGGUAGAAUUCCUGGUGUAGCGGUGAAAUGCGUAGAUAUCAGGAGGAAUACCAGUGGCGAAGGCGGCCAUCUGGCUCGCAACUGACGCUCAGGCACGAAAGCGUGGGGAGAAAACAGG